This 252-nucleotide ribosomal RNA is filed under the name uncultured bacterium. RNAcentral describes it as "partial small subunit ribosomal RNA". It matches the Rfam family "Bacterial small subunit ribosomal RNA", at positions 26 to 285 of the family's 1533-position model. The record is from RNAcentral.
AGGACGAACGCUGGCGGCGUGCUUAACACAUGCAAGUCGAGCGGAAAGGCCCUUCGGGGUACUCGAGCGGCGAACGGGUGAGUAACACGUGAGCAACCUGCCCCUGGCUCUGGGAUAGCCUCCGGAAACGGGGAUUAAUACCGGAUAUUCACUGUCUCCUGCAUGGGGGGUGGUGGAAAGUUUUUCGGCUAGGGUGGGCUCGCGGCCUAUCAGCUUGUUGGGGGGGUACGGCCCACAAGGCGACGACGGGUA